Long non-coding RNA from Hippocampus zosterae (dwarf seahorse), 2032 nucleotides. RefSeq lists it as uncharacterized. The transcript is spliced from 4 exons. The record is from RefSeq and is a predicted model, not a curated record. NCBI's taxonomy places the organism in Eukaryota, Metazoa, Chordata, Actinopteri, Syngnathiformes, Syngnathidae.
AUUCGGCGCGCACCGGGGAAAAGCCUCUGUAUUUUCCUGAGCCGCUCGCCCACACCCGCUGUGGAGUGGCGAAGAGUUCAAACAAAACGGCGUUGCACUCGGGGCUGAGUGACACCCACGCUUUGUUCUCCGCAAACGAGCAAAGUCAGAUGUGAUUUCCAUGGCAGCUUUUUCCUCGAAGCCGUAUGUGACCAUUGGAGCAUCAGAGCGUGAGAGCGCGACGGCUCAGAUGGAGACGGGAAAGAAGGAGGCGAAGACGGAGGAGUCGUCGCCGCUUACCAGUGGUCUCCACGAUGCCCUCCAGGAUCACCACGAUCUCAAACUGCUCACUGGUUUCUCUAUACGUCCACUAACAUCAUCAACAACAUCAGCAACCCCCUCGGCCCCCCCACUGACCCGUCCAUGACAUUGCCGCCGGCCAACGACCCCCAUGAAGUCCCCCUGCGAGUGUCAUGUGAGUAAACAGCCUCGUCUCCUAUUGAAUAUGAAUGAGGUGUGCCGCAGGGUUCCGUGUCGUUGCCGCUGUUCACUUGUUAGCAACUUCGCGGCUUGUGAGCAAGCCCGUCAAAACUCCUUACCUCCGUCCUUUCCACUUUUUUUUUUUUCGCUGCCUUGUCUCUUGUCACAUUAACAAGAUGGAUGAGCAUCCCGUAUGGCGACAGUCCACAGGCGAAGCGGCUUACAAGUCUGCUGUCUUUUCCCAGAGUCUCUGUGCCUCAAAUAAGAGGAUUUCGCUUCCCUAGCGCCGCGUUUACUAGACUUGACUUGCUAUGUGCUUAAAUGGGGCGGCCCGGUAGUCCAGUGGUUACCACGUCGGCUUCACAGUGCAGAGGUACCGGGUUCGAUUCCAGCUCCGGCCUCCCUGUGUGGAGUUUGCAUGUUCUCCCCGGGCCUGCGUGGGUUUUCUCCGGGUGCUCCGGUUUCCUCCCACAUUCCAAAAACAUGUGUGGCAGGCUGAUUGAACACUCUAAAUUGUCCCUAGGUGUGAGUGUGAGCGUGGUUGGUUGUUCGUCUCUGUGUGCCCUGCGAUUGGCUGGCAACCGAUUCAGGGUGUCCCCCGCCUACUGCCCGAAGACAGCUGAGAUAGGCUCCAGCACCCCCCGCGACCCUAGUGAGGAUCAAGCGGCUCGGAAGAUGGAUGAAUGAAUGAAUGAAUGAAUGUGCUUAAAUGUAUACACUUCCAGAGCCCGGAAUCGAACCCUGUACCUCUGCACUGUGAGCCCAUCGUGCUAACCAAGUCUUAAUGCAAAUGUUUCAUUAAGUUCUCUCGCUCACUGCACCUGUGGCAUUUUGCUGUUCCAUCGGUACUCGGCAGCCGCUCACUGAGUGACAGACUCAUCUUCCUCCUCCUUCUCCUCUUCUUUGUCUUUCUGUUGGCAGCUGUCAGCCACUAAUUAUCCACUACGCCGAUCGCCCCGCAACUUCCUGUCCAAACAGCCGCCAUCGUUUCACGCUUUCACACAAACGGACGGCGGCGGGAUCUGUGAGGUCCGACACAAUCCCUCUUAAAACGGCAAUUUGUUUGGCUUCGGAAACAGUUUCCAUCAGAGCUUCAAUGAAGCUUCGUUAACUCUCCAGGCAAUGUUUUAAAAAACAUAUUUAACACUCAAUGGUGGUGGUCAAGGCCAACAAAAUAUUUUCCAUUCUCAGAAGCUCGGUUCCGCUUUGUCCAUCUACAACCUACAUUUUAAUAUUUAUUCUAUGAAAUUGUAUUCACUUAUUUCCAACAGUCUCGUAUUAAACAAUCCAUGAAGCGUACCGAAUCGCUUGUGGUUUUGUCGAUGCGAUUGUGUGCGAUUACGCUUGACGGGCCGAUUGCGUGUUUGCAAAUGUGGAAAAAGUCCAACUCCUCCUCCUCCUCAUUCAUGCAUCAUUAAGCCUCCUGACACAACACUCCCCAUGUGGCGAAAAGAGGAGCGGCUCCCGACUAAUGCAGUUUCUUUUUUUUUUUUUUACGGCCCUUUUUUUGCAUGCUGAACGUGGAUAUAAUGGGAAGGAAGUCAUUUAUGAUAAUUAAAGAGCGGACGGUCAA